This 714-nucleotide long non-coding RNA is filed under the name Cricetulus griseus (Chinese hamster). RNAcentral's name for it is "lncRNA (ENSCGRG00015042399.1)". Lineage: Eukaryota; Metazoa; Chordata; Mammalia; Rodentia; Cricetidae. The record is from RNAcentral.
UCGGGGCACGCGGGAAGUGGGCGUGUGCAACUGCGCAGACCCGGUCGGAAGUCAGGACAGACUCCGGCUGUGUGGUUUAGAGACGGUUCACGUUGUGGCCGAGAGGCCAGACGAUUCGAUUUUCCUUGUCGGUGACCUUCAGUGCCAGUGGAGGCAUGCCGGGACCCAGUAGGCCUCGGCUGUUGCGCGACUCGCGCGACAGACAGCCGUGUUGGAUCCUGCAUAGCAUGUCGCCUUCCUCCGAGGAUGCCUGAGCUCCUGCGGUGGAGGACGGUCGGGGGAGGCCGGGUCUGGCGGCUCGGUGUGGCACUCGGCGCCGCGCGUUCCGGGAAGGUCUCCCCGUGCUCUGUGGAACUAGAGAUAGGAGAGAUGAAGAAACCGAGCCAAGUCUGGCUGCUCCAGAUCCUCAGGACUAAGAAUCCUGCCUGUUGGGCUGAAGCAAAGGCUGUGUGAAGGGGACGGGGAUCUCAUGAAUCUCAGGAUGGCUGCAAAACUAGCUAUGUAGCUGAAAAUGACCUUAAACUUCUGAGGUCUCCUGCCUCUAUCUCCCAAGUGUUAGGAUUACAGGUGUGUGCUAGCUACCACACCCAGUUUAUGUGAUGCUGGGGUUAAACAUAUGGGCUCUGUAUGCGAUUGGCAAGUACUCUACCAAGUGAAGCUCAUUCCCACCCCCAACAGGUUUCUUUUCUUUUUUUUUUUUUUUUUAAAAAGGGG